Molecule: ribosomal RNA, 301 nt
Filed under: uncultured bacterium
Lineage: Bacteria
Description: partial 16S ribosomal RNA
Rfam family: Bacterial small subunit ribosomal RNA
Source: RNAcentral
CAGUAGCCGCGGUAAAACGUAGGGUGCAAGCGUUAAUCGGAAUUACUGGGCGUAAAGCGUGCGCAGGCGGUUAUAUAAGACAGAUGUGAAAUCCCCGGGCUCAACCUGGGAACUGCAUUUGUGACUGUAUAGCUAGAGUACGGCAGAGGGGGAUGGAAUUCCGCGUGUAGCAGUGAAAUGCGUAGAUAUGCGGAGGAACACCGAUGGCGAAGGCAAUCCCCUGGGCCUGUACUGACGCUCAUGCACGAAAGCGUGGGAGCAAACAGGAUUAGAUACCCCGGUAGUCCCUGUCUCUUAUACA